Molecule: ribosomal RNA, 464 nt
Filed under: uncultured bacterium
Lineage: Bacteria
Description: partial 16S ribosomal RNA
Rfam family: Bacterial small subunit ribosomal RNA
Source: RNAcentral
CCUACGGGUGGCAGCAGUGGGGAAUCUUCCGCAAUGGGCGAAAGCCUGACGGAGCAACGCCGCGUGAUCGAUUGAAGGCCUUCGGGUUGUAAAGAUCUGUUGACAGGGACGAAUAAGCAACGCGUAUAGUUUUGUGUAUGACGGUACUUGUUGAGAAAGCUCUGUCUAACUACGGGCCAGCAGCCGCGGAAAUACGUAGGGAGCAAGCGUCGUCCGGAAUUACUGGGCGUAAAGGGCGCGUAGGUGGUCGCUUAAGUCAGGUGUGAAAGCUCCGGGCUCAACCUGGAGACUGCACUUGAUACUGGGUGUCUUGAGGGCAGGAGAGGUAGGUGGAAUUCCUGGUGUAGCGGUGAAAUGCGUAGAUAUUAGGAAGAACCCCGAUGGCGAAGGCGGCUUUCUGAACUGUAACUGACGCUGAGGCGCGAAAGCGUGGGUAGCGAACGGGAUUAGAUACCCGAGUAGUC